UCGGACGUGGUGUACUGAACACAGCCUCUUUCAGUAACAAAUCAACUCCUAUGUUGGAGGCAGAGCCGGGUUCGAAUCCCGGCGUCCGAG
Non-coding RNA from Mycena leptocephala, 90 nucleotides. NCBI's taxonomy places the organism in Eukaryota, Fungi, Basidiomycota, Agaricomycetes, Agaricales, Mycenaceae. The record is from the annotation of a GenBank genome assembly.